Non-coding RNA from Pimephales promelas (fathead minnow), 817 nucleotides. Lineage: Eukaryota; Metazoa; Chordata; Actinopteri; Cypriniformes; Leuciscidae. The record is from RefSeq and is a predicted model, not a curated record.
CCCAUCCAAGUGUGACGUCAGAAGCUACCACGCCCAUGCCCAAAUUGGACACAUUCUCGUUAACAUUUAAAAACAGGAAGAAGAACUAUCGAGAAGAGAAGACUAGAAGACGAAGGCAAUCAUAAAUGCCCUGGCUGUCUCCUGACUGGGAUAUCUCCUCACAGGAGGCUGAGCAGGUCUUCCUUUCUGGUCUGGAUUAUCAUUGCAAAGUUGAAGCCAUUCCUGCAGCAACUGGUGGAAAACGGGGGAUCUUUUUGGUGCUUUUGUUCUAGCAUAAAUAAUUUUGUUCUUUCGUAUAAUAUAAAUAAAUACAUAUGUAUAUAUAAAUAAAUUCAUGCUUAAAUCAUUCUCAAGUUUUGCCUUCUGAUAUUCUGGCCAUAUCAUUUAGUGACUGCAUGUGCUGAUUCCAUCGUUAUUUUAUCUGAUAAUGAGCAAAUUAGUUAAACUUAAGGAGGUUAAUCAAUAUACAGCAUAAUUCAAGAAACUAGGGCUCACACCACUUUUCAGUUGAAUAAGAUUGAUAAACAUUUUUAAUUUGUUUUGUAUGAAUUUACAUUUUUUGUAAAUGUCUUUGAUGCAUUUUGAAUAAAAAAAAACAUUUUAUAAAAAUACUCCUGAGAUUAAAUGUCUUUCGAACUAUGUACAUACAAACUAAAACAAGGGUCCUGUAACCGGGGUCCUAAAGCUGCAGCCUCCGAUUGUGUAGGGAUUUGCUCUGAACAACGGACAUUGGUUAUUUUAACAAAAAGUUAUCACACUUGCAUAAAUGGGUCAUUUUUUAACCAUAUGUGUAAACUUGAUGUAUUAACACAAAAUA